This 1506-nucleotide ribosomal RNA is filed under the name uncultured bacterium. RNAcentral's name for it is "bacterial SSU rRNA". It matches the Rfam family "Bacterial small subunit ribosomal RNA". The record is from RNAcentral.
AGAGUUUGAUCAUGGCUCAGGAUGAACGCUGGCGGCGUGCCUAACACAUGCAAGUCGAGCGGGAAUCUCCUGAUUGAAACUUCGGUAGAUUGACGGGGAGGAUAGCGGCGGACGGGUGAGUAACGCGUAGGUAAGCUGCCCUAUGCACAGGGAUAGCCUAGGGAAACCUGGAUUAAUACCUGAUGACGCUGCGAGGUCACAUGGCCAUGCAGCCAAAGUUUUUUCGGCAUAGGAUGCACCUGCGUCUGAUUAGCUGGUUGGUGAGGUAACGGCCCACCAAGGCGACGAUCAGUAGCCGACCUGAGAGGGUGAUCGGCCACAUUGGAACUGAGACACGGUCCAAACUCCUACGGGAGGCAGCAGUGAGGAAUAUUGCACAAUGGGGGGAACCCUGAUGCAGCAACGCCGCGUGAGCGAAGAAGGUCUUCGGAUCGUAAAGCUCUGUCCUAAGGGACGAUAAUGACGGUACCUUAGGAGGAAGCCCCGGCUAACUACGUGCCAGCAGCCGCGGUAAUACGUAGGGGGCGAGCGUUAUCCGGAAUUAUUGGGCGUAAAGAGUACGUAGGUGGUCCGUUAAGCGAGUGGUGAAAGCCCGGGGCUCAACUCCGGCGAGCCAUUCGAACUGGCGGACUUGAGUGCAGGAGGGGAAAGUGGAAUUCCUGGUGUAGCGGUGAAAUGCGUAGAUAUCAGGAGGAACACCGGUGGCGAAGGCGACUUUCUGGACUGUAACUGACACUGAGGUACGAAAGCGUGGGGAGCAAACAGGAUUAGAUACCCUGGUAGUCCACGCUGUAAACGAUGAGCACUAGGUGUUGGGGCAGCAAUGUCUCGGUGCCGCAGUUAACGCAAUAAGUGCUCCGCCUGGGGAGUACGCACGCAAGUGUGAAACUCAAAGGAAUUGACGGGGACCCGCACAAGCAGCGGAGCAUGUGGUUUAAUUCGAAGCAACGCGAAGAACCUUACCAGGGCUUGACAUCCUCUUGAAAGGUCUUUUAACCGAGACCCCUCUUCGGACAAGAGAGACAGGUGGUGCAUGGUUGUCGUCAGCUCGUGUCGUGAGAUGUUGGGUUAAGUCCCGCAACGAGCGCAACCCUUGUCAUUAGUUGCCAUCAGGUGAUGCUGGGCACUCUAGUGAGACUGCCGGGGACAACUCGGAGGAAGGUGGGGAUGACGUCAAAUCAUCAUGCCCCUUAUGUUCUGGGCUACACACGUGCUACAAUGGUCGGUACAGAGAGAAGCAAAACUGUGAGGUGGAGCAAAACUCUAAAACCGAUCCCAGUUCGGAUUGCAGGCUGCAACUCGCCUGCAUGAAGUCGGAGUUGCUAGUAAUCGCGGAUCAGAACGCCGCGGUGAAUGCGUUCCCGGGUCUUGUACACACCGCCCGUCACACCAUGGAAGUUGGGGGUGCCCGAAGUUGGCAAACAUGUUACCUAAGGCAAAACCAAUGACUGGGGUGAAGUCGUAACAAGGUAGCCGUUCGAGAACGAGCGGCUGGAUCACCUCCUU